Molecule: ribosomal RNA, 584 nt
Filed under: uncultured bacterium
Lineage: Bacteria
Description: partial 16S ribosomal RNA
Rfam family: Bacterial small subunit ribosomal RNA
Source: RNAcentral
UGGGGAAUUUUGGACAAUGGGCGAAAGCCUGAUCCAGCAAUGCCGCGUGUGUGAAGAAGGCCUUCGGGUUGUAAAGCACUUUUGUCCGGAAAGAAAUCCUUGGCUCUAAUACAGUCGGGGGAUGACGGUACCGGAAGAAUAAGCACCGGCUAACUACGUGCCAGCAGCCGCGGUAAUACGUAGGGUGCAAGCGUUAAUCGGAAUUACUGGGCGUAAAGCGUGCGCAGGCGGUUUGCUAAGACCGAUGUGAAAUCCCCGGGCUAACCUGGGAACUGCAUUGGUGACUGGCAGGCUAGAGUAUGGCAGAGGGGGGUAGAAUUCCACGUGUAGCAGUGAAAUGCGUAGAGAUGUGGAGGAAUACCGAUGGCGAAGGCAGCCCCCUGGGCCAAUACUGACGCUCAUGCACGAAAGCGUGGGGAGCAAACAGGAUUAGAUACCCUGGUAGUCCACGCCCUAAACGAUGUCAACUAGUUGUUGGGGAUUCAUUUCCUAGUAACGUAGCUAACGCGUGAAGUUGACCGCCUGGGGAGUACGGUCGCAAUGAUUAAAACUCAAAUGAAUUGACGGGGUCAUAGCUGUUUCCU